GGGACAUUCUCACCCACCCUCGCUCUCCUGCUCCCUCCGCCCCCCUCACCACGCCUUCACCUCCAUUUCUCACUCCCUCUCCCUCCCUGCUACAACCAACAUCUCACCUCAAAAUCACUCCAUUGCUCCCCGCCUCCCACAAACGCCAUACCCGCACCAUCGUACAACACUCGCUGGAAGCAGAAGCAGAACAAGCAGAAGAAUAAAGGAACAACCCACCAAACAAACACGCAAAUCAAUCAAUCGUUAAAUAAAGAAUGCUUUUUUCAAACCUUGCACUUGUUCACUCUUACAAAUCCACUUUUGGAACAAAGCAAAAAGGCUCUCAAUUCCAAAUGCCAUCCCAUCCAACACAUCCAUGCCCCUAGACUCAAACAUUUUCAACCCCCCUACCUAUUUCAACGUUACAUCAUGUCAAUUCUCAUGCUAUUCCACAGUUCUUGCACUGCGGCCUUCACAUCUGCACUCCACAACCUACCCUUGCACUUACAUUUUUUUUUAAUUUUUUUUAAUUUAUUAUAUAUAUAUAUUAUUUUAUUUAUCAUUAUUAUAAUCCAUGUCUGAAAAUUAAAAAAAAACAUAUACCAAUAGGCAAAUCAACAAAAUAAGCAAUAUCUCCCAUGAUUGUUUUUUUUUUUUUUUUUUUUUUUUUUUUUUGUUUCGUUUAGGGUAUAGGGCUGUUUUCCCUAUUAAUUGUAUGUACGUAUGUAUGUAUACACACUGUUAUGACACUCACUCACAUGAAUACACCCUAGGUAACAAAAUGCCACGUUUUCCCAUGUUUUGGGAUAUUUUGUUUGACCAUGAGUAGUAGCACCGGUAGAGCCCCCGUACCCUUUACAGUCUUGAAACGAAGAAAAUCACGGUAUUCAGCAUGGUUGAUUUGGUGUUGUGUGGUUGCAAAAUGCAAGAGAGCCUGGGGACGAUGGUGAUUCGGAGGGCGGGGGCUUUGAUUUGGUGGUGUGGCGAGUGUGAUGAUAUGUCGAAGUGGCAGUGUGAAUGGGUAAAUGCCCCAUAGUGUGUGCAGGCGGGAGGGCGGAGGUGGGGGUAGAAGAGGGGCGGGGCGGGAGGGGAGGGGCAUACCUUUCUCGGCCUUUUGGCUAAGAUCAAGUGUAGUAUCUGUUCUUAUCAGUUUAAUAUCUGAUACGAGGCUCAUCGAGCCUCACGAUAUUAAUCUAAUUUAUCUCGGGUGCGGGCCCAUCCGGCAGCUUGCUGCCCGGGCCAGCGCGCGUCGCCUUGGUCUUGCACUACCUCCUCGGCCGGCGCAGCCCAUUUCCCUCCGUUUCCCGGAGGGCCCCCCCCCUACAAUGCAAAGAGCGAAACUGGAAAGAGUGUGCGCGUGAGGGGACCCCCAACGUCGGCAGCGGGGCUGAGUGGAGGUGGCAACCAGUCGUGUCACGCUCCGCUGGUGCUGGUGCUGCUUGAUGCUUGAUCUGGAGGUGGAGGUGGAGGUGGAGUUGGAGUUGGAGUUGGACGCCACCUCAAAAGAAAACACAGACGGAGAAGAAGAAAAAGCAGCAGCAGAAGACGAAGAAAAACAAGAGGAAUGAAUAAUAAACACAAAAUGUCGAGAAAAAUGAAUAUAACCAAACUUGGUUACAUGUUUUUCAUGUUUUUUAUUUUUAUUUUUAUUUUUUCUUUCUGUGUUUGAUUUUAUUUGUUUUUGUUUUGUUUUGUUGUUCUUGUUGGGUUAUUGUUGUAUAAUUGUCUGAAAAAACUGUGGUCUUGAGUAUUGGUCGAAUUCUGUUCUGUGGUUUGUGGCGUAUGUUUGCUUGUUUAUUUAUUUAAAUUUAUUUUUCAGCAUUGCAGUUUCCGUUUCUUAUUUAUGAAAACUCGAUUUUGUUGUUUUGUUUAUUGUUGAUGUUGUUAUUAUUGUGUUUUUUGAAAUACACGUUUUCGUUCUUUAUCACAAAUGUUGCGCUGCUUAUUUCGAUGUACCAGUGUAUGCUUGUUAUCGAUUGAUUGACUGAUUGUUUUAUUGUGUUUUUGUUUUUGUUUUUGUUUUGUUUUGUUUGUUUGUUUUUAUUAUUUUAAUUUGUCUCUUUCUCUCAUAGCCUGCUGUCGUCGUUAUGGUCUUGAUGACGAUAACGAUGAUUAAUAGUUAUCUGUUUGUUUGAAAGAACAUAGCUUCAAAAUUCAAGAUAUCCCCUUCUCUCUUCACUCGCCUGUUUCUUAGAAUUGUGUUCAUCCAUUGAUUUGAGUGGAUUUGAGUGGUCAAUCUUAGGGGAGAUGGGGUGGUUUUGUGCAUCAAUGUUUUGAGGCAGGAACACACAUGGUUGACUCCAACAGCAACACACAGUGGUGGUGGGAAGUUGAGAGGGAUGCAGGAGGAUGCAGAUUGCACGUUGGGUUAGUGGGCGGAGAAGCGGCAGGGCAUGCGUCGGUCCCAUACGGUUGGGUGGAAGAAGGAGCAGGGCAUGCGUAGAAGAGCGUGGGUGAGAAGGCGGUGGAGGCAUGGGGCCGGGCGCUCAGCACAGAGCGAACUAUUCUUUCGCCUUUUACUAAAGAAUACCGUGCGCUGGGCGCAACGACCGGCAUAGCCAGAGUUUUUGGACUGCCCCGUUUGCGGGGCCCACCAAUUGGAAGCGCGAAACCGGAUUGUAUGGAGAACAGGGACAGGGCCUCCGUAUGACUUGUCUCCGUGGGUGGGUUGGAGAAGUGUGCCUCCUGCCACACCCGAGAGUGGGAGAGAAGCAGCGACUCGCGGUCCGCAGAGGGGCUGGCGCCGGGCCACACAUCAUCCGUCAGCACAGCAUGCCGCGCGAGAGAAAAGGGGCGCGCGCGUGUGCGUGUGUUUCAUCGAGUGCGUGCGUUUGCCGGGAGUCGAACCCGGGUCCAUUGCUUGGAAGGCAAUUAUCCUAACCGUUGGACUACAAACGCCCGGCGGCCGCGAACCGAGACCACGCACCACGGGCCCACGGCCGCGAACCGAGACCACGCACCACGGGCCCACGGCCGCUUCCACUCGCACGGCUGCGCGCUCACGGCGUCGUCUACCACCUGGCUCAUCUCGACGGGCCCUCCCGUUGGCGGCAUCUCGUGCACCGACUCAACACCGCAAAAAGUCCACGCCUCAGCGUCAAGAGAGAGGUGCACACUUACUUACUCGCGCUGAGUUUGCGCAUCCCUCCCCGUUCGGGCACCUCGCCGAACUCCGUCGGUCCUGCCGGCACCGAGUUGUGUCCCACCUGCACUCCGAGGCUCCGGGCAGUGCGCCAGCCACGGUCCCCUCCCCGACGCAACCACAAAUCCGAGGCGAGAGCGACACGACACAAGGCUGGCACACUUCGAGCCAUCCUGUUUGGGGUUUUGUGCGUUGUGAGGUCUCGGCCUACGCCAGACCUUCCAGAAAUUCUGGGGCGCCCUUGCGGGCACCGCAGGGGGGUUGGAAAUAGUUUUCAACCAGCAAUUGACGCGUCUCGGGUUUGCCUCACUAACUGCGUCAUUGCCCCAAGCGCAAAGAUACCGUCCUCCUUCCCGCCUCCCCCCGAAUGUACCUCCCUCGGGGGCUCGUCUCCUCCCAUCGCUAUGGGGCAAUCUGCCCCGACCCACCACCAAAUCGUCACCAGGCGCCGCUGCCGGGGGCGACACACCGUGCCGGCCAUCGCGUGCAUCCCUUUCGCCGCACCACCAGGCUGUGCGCUGGGCCGUGCCUCAGUCAGAGAUUGCGUUCUCAUCGGCACAGUCAGAGACCGGGGUCAAACGUGCACCUCGCAAAAAUCCAACGCCCAUCGCCCCCCUCCUCCCUCGCGCAGGGAGGAGGUAGUGGCCCGAUCCGACUCGGGUGUGUGAUCGCCGUUCUUCCCCCCCGUGCGGGAGCAACGCUCACUGCCACAGCAGCUGCCCCGAGUGUUCACUGGACCAUCGAUCGGGAGGGCGGCGCAAGACUUUUGUCCAGGCGCAGGUGCGCGUGGUGCGAAUGUAUGCAGCAGCCGGCAGGUAAUGCCGAUGUAUGCAGCAGACCUCAGAUAAUGCGGGGGGUUUCUGGGAACUCACGACCGACACACUACUUCCAAAUCAUGAACGCACCCGUACCCAGUUUCCUCCGGUUUCGGCUUCCACUUUAGGCGGGGGCCGCGCGAACGCGAGCCCCCACUGCCACAAAUUACGACGUGUAUGCCCUCCGUAGAGAGAUACUAGAGCCGCCCGCCCCGUCAGUGCAAUGGGCCGGGCUCCUCUAGGCCAUCCACCUUCCUGAUCAUGGAUCGACCCCGCCCAGGUAAGUGCCCACUCCAGCGCUCCUCCGCACCCUUCUACCACCCACCCAUACCUCGCCGCUCCAACCCGUGUGGGACAUUCUCACCCACCCUCGCUCUCCUGCUCCCUCCGCCCCCCUCACCACGCCUUCACCUCCAUUUCUCACUCCCUCUCCCUCCCUGCUACAACCAACAUCUCACCUCAAAAUCACUCCAUUGCUCCCCGCCUCCCACAAACGCCAUACCCGCACCAUCGUACAACACUCGCUGGAAGCAGAAGCAGAACAAGCAGAAGAAUAAAGGAACAACCCACCAAACAAACACGCAAAUCAAUCAAUCGUUAAAUAAAGAAUGCUUUUUUCAAACCUUGCACUUGUUCACUCUUACAAAUCCACUUUUGGAACAAAGCAAAAAGGCUCUCAAUUCCAAAUGCCAUCCCAUCCAACACAUCCAUGCCCCUAGACUCAAACAUUUUCAACCCCCCUACCUAUUUCAACGUUACAUCAUGUCAAUUCUCAUGCUAUUCCACAGUUCUUGCACUGCGGCCUUCACAUCUGCACUCCACAACCUACCCUUGCACUUACAUUUUUUUUUAAUUUUUUUUAAUUUAUUAUAUAUAUAUAUUAUUUUAUUUAUCAUUAUUAUAAUCCAUGUCUGAAAAUUAAAAAAAAACAUAUACCAAUAGGCAAAUCAACAAAAUAAGCAAU
This 4903-nucleotide long non-coding RNA is filed under the name Physcomitrium patens. Its description in RNAcentral is "long non-coding RNA (PPAT_LNC014891)". The stretch from base 1080 to 1273 matches the Rfam family "U2 spliceosomal RNA". Lineage: Eukaryota; Viridiplantae; Streptophyta; Bryopsida; Funariales; Funariaceae. The record is from RNAcentral.